UACGAAGGGACCUAGCGUAAUUCGGAAUUACUGGGCGUAAAGAGCGCGUAGGCGGUUAAAUAAGUUAAUUGUGAAAGCCCAAAGCUCAACUUUGGAAUUGCAAUUAAAACUACUUAGCUAGAGUUUAACAGAGGAAAGCGGAAUACAUAGUGUAGAGGUGAAAUUCGUAGAUAUUAUGUAGAACACCAGUUGCGAAGGCGGCUUUCUGGGAUAACACUGACGCUGAGGUGCGAAAGUAUGGGUAGCGAAGAGGAUUAGAUACCCUCGUAGUCCAUACCGUAAACGAUGAUUGUUAGAUGUUGGAAAUUUAUUUUCAGUAUCACAGCUAACGCGUUAAACAAUCCGCCUGGGGAGUACGACCGCAAGGUUAAAACUCAAAUGAAUUGACGGGGACCCGCACAAGCGGUGGAGCAUGUGGUUUAAUUCGAAGCUACGCGCAGAACCUUACCAACACUUGACAUGUCUGUCGCGGAUUCCAGAGAUGGAUUCCUUCGGUUCGGCCGGACAGAACACAGGUGCUGCAUGGCUGUCGUCAGCUCGUGUCGUGAGAUGUUGGGUUAAGUCCCGCAACGAGCGCAACCCCUACUUCUAGUUGCCAUCAGGUUAAGCUGGGCACUCUAGUAGGACUGCCUGUGAUAAGCAGGAGGAAGGUUGGGAUGACGUCAAGUCCUCAUGGCCCUUACGUGUUGGGCUACACACGUGCUACAAUGGCAGUGACAAUGAGAUGCUAAACAGCGAUGUUAAGCUAAACUCAAAAACCUGCCUCAGUUCGGAUUGCACUCUGCAACUCGAGUGCAUGAAGCUGGAAUCGCUAGUAAUCGCUCAUCAGCGCGGAGCGGUGAAUACGUUCCCGGGUCU
This 858-nucleotide ribosomal RNA is filed under the name uncultured bacterium. RNAcentral describes it as "bacterial SSU rRNA". It matches the Rfam family "Bacterial small subunit ribosomal RNA", at positions 524 to 1381 of the family's 1533-position model. The record is from RNAcentral.